UUCUUCUUUUUACCGCUGACCCCACUAUCGGACGUCAGGGAGUCGUUGGAGGUGUUCCUCCGGAUCCCCUUUUCACCCUUCGGGUGCAAGAACCGGUCGAUCACUUGACGGAUGUGACUGUGGGUACGACUGAACGGGUUCGUGUACAUUUUCGACGCGCGUUUCAAGUCCGCAUUAACCGUAAAACUGAUGAAAAGUUCCGCAGUGUGACCGGUUUUAUAGGCGGCGACGAUUUACGUCACACGGGGUCAACGUUAAGGAACCCACCGAUGCGACGUCCAGGGUUCCAGUCGAGGCAAAAAAGGCGGUCGGUUCUCGAUAUUGUCGGUCAAGAGUACGUUUAAUUGAACGUCAAGAUCAACCUAAGAACCGUCCACAAUAAUAAUUGCUGUUUGAGGGUCGCUUCUUUUGGGGAGUUUUCGUACAUCGACAUCGGGAACUUGUUGGAUAAAACUAAUAAGCGGCAAACUUCCAAACGUUUAAAGUCGUUAAAACAAACUUAUAUGGCAGGCAAUCAUUUGAUUAAUAAUAAAUAAAGUCGCUAUUAAGGCAUUAAAUAGUGACGCCGUAGAGAGCACGUAAGAUGUCCGAGAGAAGCAUUUAUAAGCUGACAAAGUUCUUUAUGACGGCCAUAGGGCUAUGGGGCAAAUUCGAGACGAAACAGGCCCAGAAGUGGUAUCGCAUAUACGGUUUUUCCACGAAAACCAUAUACAUCUUAUACAACCUCUCGAUGGUGGUAAAAGUGACCCAGGUGGCCCUCGAUCAUAGCGAGUCUCAGAACGUUUUUGGCCUGGUCUCACUUGCGGCCCUAAUAACCCUGGUUAAUAUCAAAAUAGUCGUUUUCUCUUUUAACAACGUGUCAGGCCUAUUUCAGCAUGUAAUCGACGAAGAAGGCAACAUAUUAUUAAGUGCCUCUUCUGACAGUGACAUCAAACGGUCCUAUUUGGACCACUGUAAGUUCUACCGAGCAACUUCGAGGUUCCAAGUGUUCACCACGGUGGUCUCAGUGUAUUUUUACAUAAUAUUUAAUGUCCAUAAGUUGGUGUCACAUAAACUGGCCCCAGGGGAGAACUUCAUGUACGAGUUGUGGUUGCCGUUCGAUAUAAACGAGAACGGACCAGUGAUGAUCGUUUGCAAACUCUGUUUGUCCCAAAUGGGCGUUUUGUUCAAUUCCUGUUCUCAGGUCAUGUUGCAGAGCCUUAUGGUGUUUGUCACCUCUCAACUGGCGAUUUUGCAAAUUAGGGCGCGCACUAUGUUCGAUCGAAGGACCGGCGUAGAGGCCCUCAUUGAGAAACAUCAGUUUUUAAUCGGAUUCGUGAGCAAAAUCAACGAGGCCAUAAAGUACGUGAUCCUACUCGAGUACAUCCUCAACUCCGUUAAUAUAGCGACCGCCCUACUACAAAUCCUGAUGUCCCAUUCAUUAAUCGAGAUCACGUUCUCACUCGUUUAUCUGCUGUUGCUACUGUCUCAGGUCAUGAUAUUCGGUUGGACCGCUUCUCGAAUUAGUACACAGAGUUUUAAUGUGUCAAACGCAGUAUAUUCGAGCAAUUGGACAGAGCAGUCUGAGUCAGUAAAGAGGACGUUGCUGAUCGUGAUGAUGCGCGCUCAGAAACCCCUGACCCUGGACAUUGGACCGUUUAUUCCGAUGAAUAAUGAGGCGUGUUUAACGACUCUCAAAGGGGCCUACUCGUAUGCAGGGGUCAUGAGACAUGGAUACCUGCAGUAGAUCUUGAUGCUGCUGAAUUAUUAUUAUUAUUAAACAGACUUUAAUGCAAUGGAGGCUCAUUUAUUAGUUGUGAGGCAUGAACGUGAUUUUCCGUACUUAUGGGAGGGUCUUGCUAAGCAGUUACAUUAGAAACAAUGAGCUCCUCGUUCGGGCAAAAGCCAUGAGCAGUGAAGUCAAAAAAACACAUCUCGUGAGAGUC
Molecule: unclassified non-coding RNA, 1925 nt
Filed under: Anthonomus grandis grandis
Lineage: Eukaryota; Metazoa; Arthropoda; Insecta; Coleoptera; Curculionidae
Description: odorant receptor 30a-like
Source: RNAcentral